ACGAUGAAGCUGGAGCUUGCUCCGGUGGAUUAGUGGCGAACGGGUGAGUAACACGUGAGCAAUCUGCCCUUGACUCUGGGAUAACUGCGGGAAACUGUAGCUAAUACCGGAUACUUUCCUCGGUGGGCAUCCACUGGGGAAGAAAGAAUUUCGGUCAAGGAUGAGCUCGCGGCCUAUCAGCUAGUUGGUGAGGUAAUGGCUCACCAAGGCGACGACGGGUAGCCGGCCUGAGAGGGUGACCGGCCACACUGGGACUGAGACACGGCCCAGACUCCUACGGGAGGCAGCAGUGGGGAAUAUUGCACAAUGGACGCAAGUCUGAUGCAGCAACGCCGCGUGAGGGACGAAGGCCUUCGGGUUGUAAACCUCUUUUAGCAGGGAAGAAGCGAAAGUGACGGUACCUGCAGAAAAAGCACCGGCUAACUACGUGCCAGCAGCCGCGGUAAUACGUAGGGUGCAAGCGUUGUCCGGAAUUAUUGGGCGUAAAGAGCUCGUAGGCGGUUUGUCACGUCUGCUGUGAAAUUUCGAGGCUCAACCUCGAACUUGCAGUGGGUACGGGCAGGCUAGAGUGCAGUAGGGGAGAUGGGAAUUCCUGGUGUAGCGGUGGAAUGCGCAGAUAUCAGGAGGAACACCAAUGGCGAAGGCACAUCUCUGGGCUGUAACUGACGCUGAGGAGCGAAAGCGUGGGGAGCGAACAGGAUUAGAUACCCUGGUAGUCCACGCCGUANACGGUGGGUGCUAGCUGUGGGCCACAUUCCACGUGGUCCGUGACGAAGUUAACACAUUAAGCACCCCGCCUGGGGAGUACGGCCGCAAGGCUAAAACUCA
This 828-nucleotide ribosomal RNA is filed under the name uncultured Actinomycetes bacterium. RNAcentral describes it as "bacterial SSU rRNA". It matches the Rfam family "Bacterial small subunit ribosomal RNA", at positions 66 to 903 of the family's 1533-position model. The record is from RNAcentral. Lineage: Bacteria; Bacillati; Actinomycetota; Actinomycetes.